RNAcentral lists this unclassified non-coding RNA (245 nucleotides) under Hevea brasiliensis (rubber tree). Lineage: Eukaryota; Viridiplantae; Streptophyta; Magnoliopsida; Malpighiales; Euphorbiaceae. The record is from RNAcentral.
UGUGGAUACAUUGCUGGAUAGUUGUCUUGAUCAAGUGAACCCAUCUUCCUUUAUUGUGCCUUAUCUUAUAUCUGGUUUGUCUGAUCAUUAUGAUGUCAAGAUGCCUUGCCAUCUCAUUCUCUCCAAACUUGCAGACAAGUGCCCUGCUGCUGUCCUUGCAGUUUUGGACUCGUUGGUUGGUCCUCUUGAAAAGACUAUAACUCACAAACCAAAACUCGACGCGGUGAAGCAAGAAGUAGAUCGCA